Molecule: long non-coding RNA, 1306 nt
Organism: Fundulus heteroclitus (mummichog)
Lineage: Eukaryota; Metazoa; Chordata; Actinopteri; Cyprinodontiformes; Fundulidae
Exons: 4
Source: RefSeq, a predicted model, not a curated record
UUAUGUAAGGUUAGAAAUAUGGAUAUUAUAUAUGGAUAAUUAUAUAAUACACAUUUACAUCUUCCAGGUAUUACAAAAAAGCUUGACGCAUCAUCAAAGAAAAAGUUAUGUCACACCAUCUCACCGUGGAUCCACAGCAUCUCCAACCAUGUAUAUUGGUGUGGGGCAAGCAGUGAUGGAAAUGCUGAGCUGGUUGUGGCCAAGUGGAAGUUGGUGAUGAACCACAUUGUAGACAUCCAUGAACACCCAUUUGAGAACUUUCCAACCUGUGCACAUGAUGAGUUGGUAGAGGACAGAGAGUGGAUUGCAGAAGGUUCAAGGGCCCAUGUUGAGGUGAAAUCAAUUGUCACUAACCGUACUCUGCUUGCCGACAUUAGUAAAUUGUCACCUCAUGUGCAGACAUCAAGUGUUGAAAGCUACCACAAGGUGGUGUGCUUCUUUGCACCAAAGUUCUUGCACUUCUUUUUCUACCACAGUAUGAAUGCCAGAUUGAUGCUUGCCAUUCUCCAUUUCAAUGAGAAUUCCAACAGACAGCAGGCUAAGAACAAAGCUGGAAAAAAAAUGUGGCAGCUCUCAUUUCCAAAGGCAAAAAAAGGAGAACCAGUAGCCAAACAAGUUAAAGUCCCUUGUACUUAUGCAUACAUUGAUGAGUUGUUGGAUGAAGUAAUGGCUCAUCGGGAGGCCAUACCUUCUUAUGAAGUUGCAAGGCAAGAUUUAGAAGCCCAAAUUGCUCCUGAAUACGUGAAAGACCAAUAUGACAACGUCGAUAAACUCACAGUAGUUGUAACAAGGAAGUCGAGGUUCACACAGUUGGGUAUUUAAAACCAGUGUAGUCUGCUGACUCCCAGGUCUCUUUUAUUUUAUUCACUGCACAGGAUGGAAGAACUUUCCUAUUUCCUUUUCCAAUGCGUCCCCAAAUACAUCUGAUCAUUCUUCUAUAUGCAAUGUACCUGUAAAUCCUAAAAUAAAAAGAUAAUAUGAUGCAAAAAGUGUUUAGACCUGUAAUAAAAUUUCAAAAUUAUUGUAAUGCUGUUUUAAACUAUGCCCUACUUAAGUGAUAUGUUCUGAAUGUAAUUGAUGUUAUAUUUGUUUGCUAUGUACAUGUAAAUGAUUGUUUUUGUGUUUUACUAAAGCAAUGUAGUUAUAUUUCAAUGUUUUUUGCUGUUUCCAAAUAAAAUAUAUAGGCCUAAGGUGCAGAAACAACUGCAUUUAAUUUACAGUAAAAUAACUACAUCACAGGUGCAUACAGUGUAGGACUAGAAUUUAGCACUAAUACAUGUAUUUUCAAUAAACAAUUUUUCAACUA